CAUCCGCACGGCCGUGACCUGGGCGAGCAUCUCCCCCGUGCGAGCGCCGAGCGCCCCGGCGGGGUCACACCGACCCCGGGUGGGAUAGCGGGAUGUGCGCCCGCAGGGAGCGCGGCAUCCUCGGGACCGGCCCGAAAGGGAUGGGGGGAAUGGGGAAAAAAAAUAAAUAAUAAGAAAAAGGGGAGAAAGAAGAGGGAUAGCGAGGAAAAGGCGAGGAUGUUUCGAGGCGCUCCGUAACCGCCGCUGAUAACGAGCGGGAUGAGGGAAUGGAGAUGGGUUUUAUUUUUAUUUCUUUCUCUGUCUCUCUUUUUUUUUUUUUUUUUUUUUUUUUUUUUUUAAUUAAAACUUUAGUGGGUCCUGGGGAUCGCGCUCGCUUCGCUUUGCUUUGUAGAAUGGAAAGAGAUACACGGAGAAAUGCAGGCCUUGUCAGGAUUUAUUGAAGUUGGGUUUAAAAAACGUGCUUCAGAUGAUUUUUCCCAUUUUCUCAGAUUUCAAAGGCUCCCCGCAGUGCGGCUGCCUAAUUAAUGGUGAAAUUCAACUAAAUCUAAUUAUGCAGUAAUUUUAAAGCAGUUAGUCCUGGGCGCUGCUUUGUAAUAGGAACCCAGUUUUUAAAGUUUGCUUAAUGUGUUGGUUUAGGGAGCUGGGGAGGAGAAGGGUGUAAGGGACAGAGCUGUGGGGUUGGUUUUUUCCCUUUCCCCCUUCUCCCCUUCCCCCCCCCUCCAACCUUUUGUAAAGCAAAGAAAUGCAAAAUAUAAACCCAAAACAGCCAGCGAAAGGCAAGGAGAGAGGCUGUGUUAUCCCCUCGUAUGUAAUACGGGUAUUGAGUGAGAAGCACCAGCGAAAGUGUAAAUAACACAGUACUUAAUAGGGACCAUAAAGGUAUUCCUGGCCUGUGGAUUUCCAAGUGCCGAGCUGUUUUAGAGAGGAUCUUGAAUCCUGCGGUAAUAAAGGGGCAACGGAGACACACAGCGUCUCUUCUUGGGAAAUAGAAACCAGAUUUCUGCUAUUGAACAUCUAUUGUCAUUAAGAGGAGAGGCUUGUGCUCGCGAAGUUAUAAAUCUUAUCACCCUUUUGAUAACACAGUUGUAAUCAGUUAGCAUCGCAUUCAAACCCAAUUGUAAAACUGCCUAAUUUAAUAUGUCAUACAUGUCAUUAAAACUUUAUUUUUCCCACUUCUCUUUUUUUUUUUUUCCCCCCCUCUCUCUACCCAUCCCCCCCCAAGUAAAAUGUCAACAGAUCUGGCUGGUAACGUGCAGCAGGGAGAGCCCGAGGUGGCUGCGCUGCUCCGGGGGCGAGCCCGGUGCUAUGAUGAAGAGGGUUUGCUUUCUUCCCAUCUAGCCCCAAAAUAUCGACGAUACGUGUAUUCGGUAUCAAAACCCGUCGAGUUGCGAAGUCCAAGAUGAAUAAUAAAAGAGGGGAAAAUUGUCCCUGAAUUAUCUGCGUGUCGCUUCAUAAAUGCUUGCGAGCGGCUCUCAGGAGCCACACCACCUCGCAGAGAUGCUGCUUACCUCUGCUGAAAUUUCUCUCCUUUUUCUUAGCUUUUGCUUUGAACCCUACCCAAUAGCCUGUACGCGAAUAAAAGGAAUGAACUCAGAAAGAAGCACCGUUCAUUGUUGGAUUCAAGCACUGUAAAAAAAAAAAAAAAAUUACUGAAAUGCAGCCACAUAGCGCCCUUAAGAUUAUUUCCCUUUCCUAGAAAGUAGCUCCUAACCUCGGAUUUCUGCCCCCUCCCCCUUCUUCCCUGGUUUUAUUCCCCCCCUCCCCCCCACGCACACACACCCUUGACCACAUCUUUCUCCGAUUCGCCUUGGAGAAAAAAAAUUGCAUGUGCUGAUGUGAUGGAGCCCUUUAAACAACGGGCAUGUGAGAGCUGUAUUCACUCUGAAACAUUAGCCCUAUUUUCUGAAUUUCCUUCCUUUCAAAUAGCUGCUCGUAUCUUACUAUCCUGGAUCCCUGAUUUAAACAUCCUCACUUCUAGGAGCUUGUUAGAUACAUCUACAUUUUAAUUUAAUUUAAUUUCGGUAUUGUACUUAAAGCAACAAUAAAUAAACCCGAGAACUUGUGUUUUCCUUUGCAGAGAGUUUUUUAUUCUUCUCCAGAAAUUUCAUUGAGAUGUCUCUGUACUUUGUUUGUCAGUUAUCUUUGUUCCUUUUAAAUAAAGGGCUUUUAAAUGGA
Long non-coding RNA from Catharus ustulatus (Swainson's thrush), 2175 nucleotides. RefSeq lists it as uncharacterized. The record is from RefSeq and is a predicted model, not a curated record. Lineage: Eukaryota; Metazoa; Chordata; Aves; Passeriformes; Turdidae. The transcript has 2 exons.